UAUCAAUUUUCCAAGUUUUAACUGCAUGCAGAAGUUGUAACAACAACGCUUUUUAAAUCACUGGAAAAAUGGCGAAAUAUUACGCAAGAAACCCAGUAAACUUCCAGCGAACUUUAAGAUCACUGGAAGUUUUUCGUUGAAGUCUUUUGUUUCCAUGGAAAUCCAGGGAACUUUGCCGAAAACCCAGUGAUCUUAGUAAAUUUCCAGUGGUCUUUUAAAUUUCCAGCGAACUUUCGCUGGAAGUUCGCUGGGUUUUUUUGUAAGGGAUAAGAAACCAAGUAAAAAAUUGAACAUAAUAGCAACAGAUUUAUCUUUCGAACUGUUUGCAAAACUUUUGGUUAGGAUACAAAAUACCAAGUGAAAAUGAUACUGGAAAGACUGUUUACCGUUUGACUCCUGUCCCAAUCUAACCUAGUGGGUUCAAAAAGAAAAGACCGCGCUGGAAACAUGAGGUGGUUAAAAGGAUCAGCCCUUUUUGAAUUAAUAGUCAAAGUCGUAACCAGCUAGAAGUCGUAACCAGCUCGUAUGAAAGGAUUUCUCGACGUGAAAUAGUUAAUUUUAUUCAAAAACUCCAAGAAACAGAGGUCGCUCAAGAAACACAAAAGACAGAGAAAGAUGAAAAAAUAUUCUGUUGAACAAUACUGUUGUUUUAUUUAUAAAUUAUUCUCCUAUGUUUAA
Hydra vulgaris (swiftwater hydra) is the source of this 678-nucleotide long non-coding RNA. RefSeq lists it as uncharacterized. The record is from RefSeq and is a predicted model, not a curated record. Lineage: Eukaryota; Metazoa; Cnidaria; Hydrozoa; Anthoathecata; Hydridae.